GACGAACGCUGGCGGCGUGCUUAACACAUGCAAGUCGAACGGAAAGGCCCUGCUUGCAGGGUACUCGAGUGGCGAACGCGGGAGUAACACGUGUGUGAACUGCCCUGCACUUCGGGAUAAGCCUGGGAAACUGGGUCUCAUACCGGAUAGGAGCCAUUUUUAGUGUGAUGGUUGGAAAGUUUUUUUGGUGUGGGAUGGGUUCGCGGCCGAUCAGCUUGUUGGUGGGGUAAUGGCUUACCAAGGCGGGGACGGGUAGCCGGCCGGGGAGGGUGGCCGGCCACAUUGGAACUGGGUUACGGCCCAGACUCCUACGGGAGGCAGCAGUGGGGAAUAUGGCACAAGGGCGGAAGGCCGAUUCAGGGACGGCGGGGGGGGGAAGACGGCCUUCGGGUUGUAAAAUCCUUUCGCUAGGGACGAAGCUGUGUGUGACGGUACCUAGAAAAGAAGCACCGGCUAACUACGUG
Molecule: ribosomal RNA, 464 nt
Filed under: uncultured bacterium
Lineage: Bacteria
Description: partial 16S ribosomal RNA
Rfam family: Bacterial small subunit ribosomal RNA
Source: RNAcentral